RNAcentral lists this ribosomal RNA (440 nucleotides) under uncultured bacterium. RNAcentral's name for it is "partial 16S ribosomal RNA". It matches the Rfam family "Bacterial small subunit ribosomal RNA", at positions 338 to 795 of the family's 1533-position model. The record is from RNAcentral.
CCUACGGGAGGCAGCAGUGGGGAAUAUUGCACAAUGGGGGAAACCCUGAUGCAGCGACGCCGCGUGAGUGAAGAAGUAUUUCGGUACGUAAAGCUCUAUCAGCAGGGAAGAAAAUGACGGUACCUGACUAAGAAGCCCCGGCUAACUACGUGCCAGCAGCCGCGGUAAUACGUCGGGGGCAAGCGUUAUCCGGAUUUACUGGGUGUAAAGGGAGCGUAGACGGCAGCGCAAGUCUGGAGUGAAAUCCCAUGGCUUAACCAUGGAACUGCUUUGGAAACUGUGCAGCUAGAGUGCAGGAGAGGUAAGCGGAAUUCCUAGUGUAGCGGUGAAAUGCGUAGAUAUUAGGAGGAACACCAGUGGCGAAGGCGGCUUACUGGACUGUAACUGACGUUGAGGCUCGAAAGCGUGGGGAGCAAACAGGAUUAGAUACCCCUGUAGUC